Molecule: ribosomal RNA, 403 nt
Filed under: uncultured bacterium
Lineage: Bacteria
Description: partial 16S ribosomal RNA
Rfam family: Bacterial small subunit ribosomal RNA
Source: RNAcentral
AUUGAACGCUGGCGGCAGGCCUAACACAUGCAAGUCGAGCGAGCGGCUGACGGGUGAGUAAUGUAUGGGGACUGCCCGAUAGAGGGGGCUCACUACUGGAAACGGUGGCUAAUACCGCAUAAUAUCAGCUAACACAUAUGGGCUUAGCUCGUAGGUGGGGUAAAGGCUCACCUCGGCGACGAUCUCUAGCUGGUCUGAGGGGCUGAUCAGCCACACCGGGACUAAGACACGGCCCAGACUCCUACGGAGGCAGCAGUGGGGAAUAUUGCACAAUGGGCGCAAGCCUGAUGCAGCCAUGCCGCGUGUAUGAAGAAGGCCUUAGGGUUGUAAAGUACUUUCAGCGGGGAGGCGUUACCCGCAGAAGAAGCACCGGCUAACUCCGUGACAGCAGCCGCGGUAAUAC